Long non-coding RNA from Leguminivora glycinivorella, 380 nucleotides. RefSeq lists it as uncharacterized. The record is from RefSeq and is a predicted model, not a curated record. NCBI's taxonomy places the organism in Eukaryota, Metazoa, Arthropoda, Insecta, Lepidoptera, Tortricidae. The transcript is spliced from 2 exons.
UAUAGAGAAGACAUCGCCCAUCACUGCCGUGUUCCGUUCAACUGCGGCCGGCCGGCCGCACGUCACUCAGUCGCUUACGAGUACUGAAGCGCGGCGGUCGUAAUAUGUUUUAAAACGAAACAGGAUAAAAACUGGUUAAAUAAUUUAAAUAUGCCCUCGUGUGUGAUGCGAUAUUGCACUAACAAUUCAAGCAAUACGUCGAAGUGAAAAGGAGUAACUUUCUAUAGGUUUUGCACGUCUGGGCCUUAAAGACAGGGAGAAAUGGAUGAAACACGAGGCUAAAACUGAUCAGACAAUAAAUUAUUUUUUAAAGCGGCAAAAGAUUUGUAACUUAUAUUAUUUAAGGGUGAUUAAAUAAAAAUCAUAUCUGUACAUAACUA